This 868-nucleotide ribosomal RNA is filed under the name uncultured archaeon. RNAcentral describes it as "bacterial SSU rRNA". It matches the Rfam family "Archaeal small subunit ribosomal RNA", at positions 1 to 878 of the family's 1478-position model. The record is from RNAcentral.
CUCCGGUGAUCCCCGCCGGACCCGACUGCUAUCAGAGUGGGACUAAGCCAUGCGAGUCAACGUAGCAAUACGUGGCAUACGGCUCAGUAACACGUAGUCAACAUGCCCAGGGGACGAGGAUAACCUCGGGAAACUGAGGAUAAACCUCGAUAGGCCAUGAUUUCUGGAAUGAUUCUUGGCUCAAACCUAUAUGGCCCCUGGAUUGGACUGCGGCCGAUCAGGCUGUUGGUGGGGUAAUGGCCCACCAAACCUAUUACCGGUACGGGCUCUGAGAGGAGGAGCCCGGAGAUGGGCACUGAGACAAGGGCCCAGGCCCUAUGGGGCGCAGCAGGCGCGAAACCUCUGCAAUAGGCGAAAGCUUGACAGGGUUACUCUGAGUGAUUUCCGCUAAGGGAAUCUUUUGGCACCUCUAAAAAUGGUGCAGAAUAAGGGGUGGGCAGGUCUGGUGUCAGCCGCCGCGGUAAUACCAGCACCCCGAGUGGUCGGGACAAUUAUUGGGCCUAAAGCAUCCGUAGCCGGUCCUGCAAGUCUUCCGUUAAAUCCAGCUGCUCAACAGAUGGGCUGCGGGAGAUACUACAGGGCUAGGAGGCGGGAGAGGCAAGCGGUACUUUAUGGGUAGGGGUAAAAUCCGCUGAUCCAUAGAAGACCACCAGUGGCGAAGGCGGCUUGCCAGAACGCGCUCGACGGUGAGGGAUGAAAGCUGGGGGAGCAAACCGGAUUAGAUACCCGGGUAGUCCCAGCUGUAAACGAUGCAGACUCGGUGAUGGGUUGGCCUCGCGCCUGCCCAGUGCCGCAGGGAAGCCGUUAAGUCUGCCGCCUGGGGAGUACGGUCGCAAGACUGAAACUUAAAGGAAUUGGCGGGGGAGCA